CCAAAUGGCUUUCACUUUAGCCACAGAUUCGGCAGAGAGGCAAACUCAUCAAACCGGAUUAUCAAUCACCUAGAAGAUACUGCUUCCCCGUUCUAUCUUCACCAUUUUGAAAAUCACAACAUUGUCAUAGUCACACCGGAAUUCACUCCAACCAACUAUCCUUCCUAGAGGAGAUUGUUCUAGCUCGCUGUUUCAAUUAGAAA
Molecule: long non-coding RNA, 203 nt
Filed under: Manihot esculenta (cassava)
Lineage: Eukaryota; Viridiplantae; Streptophyta; Magnoliopsida; Malpighiales; Euphorbiaceae
Description: long non-coding RNA (MESC_LNC010030)
Source: RNAcentral